RNAcentral lists this ribosomal RNA (481 nucleotides) under uncultured bacterium. Its description in RNAcentral is "partial 16S ribosomal RNA". It matches the Rfam family "Bacterial small subunit ribosomal RNA", at positions 32 to 523 of the family's 1533-position model. The record is from RNAcentral.
AAUCAACGCUGGCGGCGUGCCUCAGACAUGCAAGUCGAACGAUUAAAGCUCUCUUCGGAGAGUGUAUAGAGUGGCGCACGGGUGAGUAACACGUAAGUAAUCUACCUUCGAGUGGGGAAUAACGUCCGGAAACGGACGCUAAUACCGCAUAAUGCAGCGGCAUCGCAAGAUGACAGUUGGUAAAGAUUUAUCGCUUGAAGAGGAGCUUGCGGCAGAUUAGCUAGUUGGUAAGGUAAUGGCUUACCAAGGCUACGAUCUGUAACCGGUCUAAGAGGACGGUCGGUCACACUGACACUGAAUAACGGGUCAGACUCCUACGGGAGGCAGCAGUCGGGAAUUUUGGGCAAUGGGCGAAAGCCUGACCCAGCAACGCCGCGUGAAGGAUGAAGUAUUUCGGUAUGUAAACUUCGAAAGAAUAGGAAGAAUAAAUGACGGUACUAUUUAUAAGGUCCGGCUAACUACGUGCCAGCAGCCGCAGUAA